RNAcentral lists this long non-coding RNA (300 nucleotides) under Homo sapiens (human). Its description in RNAcentral is "non-protein coding lnc-SPATA5-1:1". Lineage: Eukaryota; Metazoa; Chordata; Mammalia; Primates; Hominidae. The record is from RNAcentral.
CUCAAGGUCUGCCCACCAUGAACAUCAUAAUGUUAUGUCUUAAAGGAGCAUAUUCCCUUUGCAAGCCCUGGAGUUCAGUAAGCUGGAUUCUUAGCUAGUGUCUCCAUAAAGUGGACACGGAAAGGAAGAGAAUGUAGACACAUCAAAAGGACGCCUCGUCAGUUGAGAAACAAGGCAUUUUCAAGAAGCAGUAACAGAAGAUCAUGAGGAUGAACCAAUCCAGUAAAGACCCUUGUAUGUAGUUCUUAGUGGUUCAUUAGCGACCUUUAAGGAAGCAGUAUCAAUGGGAUAAUGAAUAAA